AAGCAAGAUGACCCGCCGAAUUAAGCAUAA
RNAcentral lists this ribosomal RNA (30 nucleotides) under Pseudo-nitzschia delicatissima. RNAcentral's name for it is "partial large subunit ribosomal RNA". The record is from RNAcentral. Lineage: Eukaryota; Bacillariophyta; Bacillariophyceae; Bacillariales; Bacillariaceae.